CAUUUAAUCCUAGGAAGAAACUGAAUUCAAGGUCUGAGGCCCUAGGGGAGCUGAGGACUUCCCAGUAGCUGAGCGGCUUCUGUUGUAAACAGCCAUCUGAGUCCAGUCAUCUCAAGGACAACCUCUGUUUUGCUGGCGUGGUGAAACAAGUUCAUGUUCCCAGGGCCUAGGAAUGAACUCCUAUCUUGCUCCUCCAAACACUUCCUUAAUUGUCUGUUAACGGCCAAGCCGCAACAAUGACUCUCAAAGAACAGCUGCAAAGAAGACGCAGGCCAGACGACCAGCUGCCUAGAAGAAACAGAAACCAGCUGAGCUGCCUGGAAGAGGUUUAGACCAACCAAGACA
RNAcentral lists this long non-coding RNA (345 nucleotides) under Rattus norvegicus (Norway rat). Its description in RNAcentral is "long non-coding RNA NONRATT006492". Lineage: Eukaryota; Metazoa; Chordata; Mammalia; Rodentia; Muridae. The record is from RNAcentral.